UGCAGCCCGAGCCAUCCAUAUUUAUUUAUCGUCGAUGACGCUCACUGGGGGUGUGUAUAGACUCCGGAGGGGCUCCUACAGCCCAAGCGCAAUAUCUUGGUGUUACCUAACCGAUCAACCAUUGUUACCUGACCAAUUUAUAUCAUAUAGUGCCAUUGUUACCACUAUUCAAGUAUAUCAUCCAGUGUCAUUGUUACCACUAUUUCAAGUGUAUCACACAGUGUCAUUGUUACCACUGUGUCAAGUAUAUCACACAGUGUCAUUAUUACCACUGUUUCAAGUCACUUUAUAAUCAGUCCAGAAAAUAAUAUAAUAAGCCCCUUGGGCAUUUACAAAACAGAAGUUCCCAGCCCGGAAUACAUUUAAAAAUAUCAUUUAAGUUUUCAACACUUAGAAUUAUAGCUGAGUUUGCAAAAUAGCAUUUAAAACCUUGGACUGAAAUUAAAUGAUAUGCAAAUCAUGCUAAGCCGUAAUAUCAAUCCUCGAAGGAUUUUACAAAUCGGUACAAGGCCCCAAACAUGGCAUCAAGCCCAGUAAUAUCAAUGAAGUAUGUGUAUCAAACACCAGUAUAGUAUAAACAUCACACGGGGUGGACCAAGUAACAAUCCCCAGUAGUAUCCGACCCCGCACUCGCCAUGGAGUGCGUGUCACGCCUCAAUAUAGCGUUACGAUGUGAAAGUCCGGGGUUUCAAACCCUCAGAAUAGCAUUUACAUCUAUUACUCACCUCCAACCGGCCGUAGACUAGUCUGCAAUGCCCUUUCCUCUUGAAUCGACCUCUUCGCGCGUUGAAUCUAGUCAAAACCACAACGAAUACGUUACAAUAGGCUAAGGGAAUAUAACCCAAUCGAAAAGACUCGAAAAAUGUCGAAAAUCCCGAAAUUAGCAAAACCCGAGCCCACGUCUCGAAAUUCAGAAAUUUUUACAUCAAUACGACCCUUAUCUAUCCACGAGUCUAUACAUACCAAAUUCACAAAAAUCGGAGUUCAUUUGAUCCCUCAAAUCACAAUUUAAUUCUCUUAAGUUUCAAGCCACAAACCAUCAUUUUUGUCCAUAAAUUACUUGAGUUUUCAGCUCUAAUCCAUGUAUUUAACUUGGAAAUAAGUAGAAAUAACUCACCUUUGAUGCUUGAUGAAAUAUCCCUUGAAAUUCUCUCCAAAAUAAUCCAAG
Molecule: long non-coding RNA, 1168 nt
Filed under: Nicotiana tabacum (common tobacco)
Lineage: Eukaryota; Viridiplantae; Streptophyta; Magnoliopsida; Solanales; Solanaceae
Description: long non-coding RNA (NTAB_LNC007159)
Source: RNAcentral